UUCACUCAUGUAAACUGUGAAGUGGCACAGAUUUUGACGUAUACAUGGCGAUCAUGGCCAUAGCAGCAAGGGAUCUUUAACAUACCAACACCCAUCAUGAUGUAGGACCUCAAUUUUAAAGGUCAAAUCCAAAAGACCCAUGGCCUUCACUUUUAAUGCUGGGCACUUGACAAAGGAACAGUCACUCACCUAUGUUAAAUGUCCUAAGUUUGCACACAGCAUUCUCAGUACCCCUUCCUUGUCGUAAAAAUGGGGGCGGUCCUUUGGAUGAGACCACAAAAACGUAGGUCCCAUGUCACAGCAGGUGUGGCAUGAUAAAGAUCCCUCCCUGCUCAAAGGCCGCAAGCGACAAGCAUAGGCCUACAUUUUGCAGCCCUUCACAUGCAUUCAAAUGGUGAUGUCUCCAUAUGAGUGAAAGAUUCUCGAGAAGGACGUUUAACAAUAUACAAUCAAUCAAUCUAUCCACAGAGCAAUGGGAUAGAGAAUUGAAUCCUGGGCCUCCUAAUUGUGACUAUGCUACUGUGACCAGGAGCAAACUUUGAUAUCAGGCCCAAAAAUCAAAACCUAUGGGACUGGACUUCAAAGCUGAAUUUGAAAAAGCUAUAUACAGGCUUAUUCUCAUAUGUGAAAUCGGCUCAGCUUUAACAAACAACAGAUCUUGCUUUGUGAACUUUGAUUACUGCAAAAAAUGGAGUGCAGCUUUGAACAAAUGAUUCUUUUUCUAUCACAUUGUGAACCAAAAAGAUAAAUCUAAAGCAUAAAUACGAAUUUUGUCU
Molecule: long non-coding RNA, 776 nt
Organism: Ostrea edulis (European flat oyster)
Lineage: Eukaryota; Metazoa; Mollusca; Bivalvia; Ostreida; Ostreidae
Exons: 3
Source: RefSeq, a predicted model, not a curated record